GAGCCCCGGGACCGGCUCGCCGCCGCCCGCCCAUGCCCAAGGGGCGCUGUCCCGGCGGGGGCCCUGGCCCGCGUCCCUCCCGCGGCCGGACCCCAAAGGCUGACAAACAAUAAACAAAAGUACAUUGAAUGUGCUAGCUGGGGAUACAGAGAAUAAGAUAUUAUCCCUGCCUCUAAGAAGCUUUCAGUCCCAUGGCAGAGACAAGACAUAAAGGACUGCAGUGAGGCUAUGUUAGAGACUGAACUUCAGUGAAAAAGACCAGGACAAUGCCCUAGGAGACAAGAGAGCAGCAAG
Lagenorhynchus albirostris (white-beaked dolphin) is the source of this 294-nucleotide long non-coding RNA. RefSeq lists it as uncharacterized. NCBI's taxonomy places the organism in Eukaryota, Metazoa, Chordata, Mammalia, Artiodactyla, Delphinidae. The record is from RefSeq and is a predicted model, not a curated record. The transcript has 3 exons.